UACACUCCUACGGGAGGCAGCAGUGGGGAAUAUUGGACAAUGGGCGCAAGCCUGAUCCAGCCAUGCCGCGUGAGUGAUGAAGGCCCUAGGGUUGUAAAGCUCUUUCACCGGUGAAGAUAAUGACGGUAACCGGAGAAGAAGCCCCGGCUAACUUCGUGCCAGCAGCCGCGGUAAUACGAAGGGGGCUAGCGUUGUUCGGAUUUACUGGGCGUAAAGCGCACGUAGGCGGACUAUUAAGUCAGGGGUGAAAUCCCGGGGCUCAACCCCGGAACUGCCUUUGAUACUGGUAGUCUUGAGUUCGAGAGAGGUGAGUGGAAUUCCGAGUGUAGAGGUGAAAUUCGUAGAUAUUCGGAGGAACACCAGUGGCGAAGGCGGCUCACUGGCUCGAUACUGAUGCUGAGGUGCGAAAGCGUGGGGAGCAAACAGGAUUAGAAACCCCUGUAGUCCCAUGA
This 452-nucleotide ribosomal RNA is filed under the name uncultured organism. RNAcentral's name for it is "partial 16S ribosomal RNA". It matches the Rfam family "Bacterial small subunit ribosomal RNA", at positions 332 to 800 of the family's 1533-position model. The record is from RNAcentral.